This 345-nucleotide unclassified non-coding RNA is filed under the name uncultured fungus. Its description in RNAcentral is "partial contains 5.8S ribosomal RNA, internal transcribed spacer 2, and large subunit ribosomal RNA". The record is from RNAcentral. Lineage: Eukaryota; Fungi.
AACGCACAUUGCGCUCCCUGGUAUUCCAAGGAGCAUGCCCGUUUCAGAAUCAUGUUUUCAGACUCUCUCUAGGUCUCUGUGUCUUGUGCAUAGGAACAAAGGGAGGCAAUGGACAAAUUGAGUGGCACUUGCUGCCCAAUUGUCUGAAACCCAUUGUCCCAAAGGCCACAGUGGCUUGUGAGUCCAACGGUCACAAAGUGCAACAGAUGCUUGUAAUCUCUUAUCACUUUGCUGUUGGUUCAUGCCACAGGGUGCUGGGACCCAAUAAGUACACGGUAGUGGUAGGCGAUCCUACCCUGCUGGUCACUUGGUCUGAAAUCGGGCAAGAAAACCCGCUGAACUUAA